RNAcentral lists this ribosomal RNA (254 nucleotides) under uncultured bacterium. RNAcentral describes it as "partial 16S ribosomal RNA". It matches the Rfam family "Bacterial small subunit ribosomal RNA", at positions 524 to 776 of the family's 1533-position model. The record is from RNAcentral.
UACAGAGGGGGCAAGCGUUGUUCGGAUUUACUGGGCGUAAAGGGCGCGUAGGCGGCAAUUCAAGUCAUCUGUGAAAUCUCCGGGCUUAACCCGGAACGGUCAGGUGAUACUGUUUUGCUAGAGUGCGGAAGGGGCAAUCGGAAUUCUCGGUGUAGCGGUGAAAUGCGUAGAUAUCGAGAGGAACACCAGAGGUGAAGACGGGUUGCUGGGCCGACACUGACGCUGACAGCGCGAAAGCCAGGGGAGCAAACGGG